UAGCGCGCGACAUAACAAUCGUGAACAGUGCCGGACCCAGCUCAGAGCAAGCGGUGGCCCUCCGUGUCGGAGCAGACAAAUCCGUCGUGUACCGAUGCUCCAUCGAAGGAUACCAAGACUCACUCUACACGCACUCUAAGCGACAAUUCUACCGAGACACAGACAUCACCGGAACCAUCGACUACAUAUUCGGAAACUCCGCCGCAGUGUUCCAGUCCUGCAACAUCGUCACCCGUAAGCCCUUAUCGGGUCAGACAAACUUCGUGACGGCGCAAGGGCGGAGCAACCCGGGUCAGAACACCGGAAUCUCUAUACAGAACUGCAAGAUCACGGCGCAGUCGACGACUUACCUUGGCCGGCCGUGGAAAGAGUAUUCAAGAACGGUGGUGAUGCAGUCUUUCCUCGACGGGUCGAUUCACCCGUCGGGUUGGUCUCCUUGGUCGGGUGGUUUCGGGCUUAAAACUCUGUUUUACGCGACAAAUCCGUCGUGUACCGAUGCUCCAUCGAAGGAUACCAAGACUCACUCUACACGCACUCUAAGCGACAAUUCUACCGAGACACAGACAUCACUGGAACCGUCGACUACAUAUUCGGAAACUCCGCCGCAGUGCUCCAGUCCUGCAACAUCGUCGCCCGUAAGCCCUUAUCGGGUCAGACAAACUUCGUGACGGCGCAAGGGCGGAGCAACCCGGGUCAGAACACCGGAAUCUCUAUACAGAACUGCAAGAUCACGGCGCAGUCGACGACUUACCUUGGCCGGCCGUGGAAAGAGUAUUCAAGAACGGU
RNAcentral lists this long non-coding RNA (786 nucleotides) under Brassica napus (rape). Its description in RNAcentral is "long non-coding RNA (BNAP_LNC016655)". The record is from RNAcentral. Lineage: Eukaryota; Viridiplantae; Streptophyta; Magnoliopsida; Brassicales; Brassicaceae.